Oncorhynchus keta (chum salmon) is the source of this 1274-nucleotide long non-coding RNA. RefSeq lists it as uncharacterized. The record is from RefSeq and is a predicted model, not a curated record. The transcript has 6 exons. NCBI's taxonomy places the organism in Eukaryota, Metazoa, Chordata, Actinopteri, Salmoniformes, Salmonidae.
GCUGGUUGUACUAGCUAGCCAGGAUCAGGUCAUGGUGGCUGGUUGUACUAGCUAGCCAGGAUCAGGUCAUGGUGGCUGGUUGUACUAGCUAGCCAGGAUCAGGUCAUGGUGGCUGGUUGUACUAGCUAGCCAGGAUCAGGUCAUGGUGGCUGGUUGUACUAGCUAGCCAGGAUCAGGUCAUGGUGGCUGGUUGUACUAGCUAGCCAGGAUCAGGUCAUGGUGGCUGGUUGUACUAGCUAGCCAGGAUCAGGUCAUGGUGGCUGGUUGUACUAGCUAGCCAGGAUCAGGUCAUGGUGGCUGGUUGUACUAGCUAGCCAGGAUCAGGUCAUGGUGGCUGGUUGUACUAGCUAGCCAGGAUCAGGUCAUGGUGGCUGGUUGUACUAGCUAGCCAGGAUCAGGUCAUGGUGGCUGGUUGUACUAGCUAGCCAGGAUCAGGUCAUGGUGGCUGGUUGUACUAGCUAGCCAGGAUCAGGUCAUGGUGGCUGGUUGUACUAGCUAGCCAGGAUCAGGUCAUGGUGGCUGGUUGUACUAGCUAGCCAGGAUCAGGUCAUGGUGGCUGGUUGUACUAGCUAGCCAGGAUCAGGUCAUGGUGGCUGGUUGUACUAGCUAGCCAGGAUCAGGUCAUGGUGGCUGGUUGUACUAGCUAGCCAGGAUCAGGUCAUGGUGGCUGGUUGUACUAGCUAGCCAGGAUCAGGUCAUGGUGGCUGGUUGUACUAGCUAGCCAGGAUCAGGUCAUGGUGGCUGGUUGUACUAGCUAGCCAGGAUCAGGUCAUGGUGGCUGGUUGUACUAGCUAGCCAGGAUCAGGUCAUGGUGGCUGGUUGUACUAGCUAGCCAGGAUCAGGUCAUGGUGGCUGGUUGUACUAGCUAGCCAGGAUCAGGUCAUGGUGGCUGGUUGUACUAGCUAGCCAGGAUCAGGUCAUGGUGGCUGGUUGUACUAGCUAGCCAGGAUCAGGUCAUGGUGGCUGGUUGUACUAGCUAACCAGGAUCAGGUCAAGGGUGGCUGGUUGUACUAGCUAGCCAGGAUCAGGUCAUGGUGGCUGGUUGUACUGGCUAACCAGGAUGAGGUCAUGGUGGCUGGUUGUGUUGGCUAACCAGGAUGAGUCAUGGUGGCUGGUUGUACUAGCUAGCCAGGAUCAGGUCAUGGUGGCUGGUUGUACUAGCUAACCAGGAUCAGGUCAAGGGUGGCUGGUUGUACUAGCUAGCCAGGAUCAGGUCAUGGUGGCUGGUUGUACUGGCUAACCAGGAUGAGGUCAUGGUGGCUGGUUGUGUUGGC